RNAcentral lists this ribosomal RNA (433 nucleotides) under Gnatholebias hoignei. Its description in RNAcentral is "partial 16S ribosomal RNA". It matches the Rfam family "Bacterial large subunit ribosomal RNA", at positions 1926 to 2551 of the family's 2925-position model. The record is from RNAcentral. Lineage: Eukaryota; Metazoa; Chordata; Actinopteri; Cyprinodontiformes; Rivulidae.
AACGGCCGCGGUAUCUUGACCGUGUAAAAGUAGCAUAAUCAUUUGUCUUUUAAAUAAAGACCUGUAUGAAUGGCACAACGAGAGCUCAACUGUCUCAUUCUCUCUAUCAAUGAAAUUGAUCCCCCCGUGCAGAAGCAGGGAUGAAAACAUAAGACAAAAAGACCCUGUGGAACUUUAGAAAUCAAACAACAAUACUUCUUAGCUUCUAUGCCCUUUAUUUUAUCUUCGGUUGGGGCAACCAUGGAGAAAAAUAUAACCUCCACGAAUCAUUAAAAUUGAAAUACAACUCUAACUUAUAGAACACCUUCCACAAUGACCCGAGAAAAUAUCGAUCAACGAAAAAGUUACCCCAGGGAUAACAGCACAAUCCCUUUUUAGAGCCCCUAUCGACAAAGGAGUUUAUGACCUCGAUGUUGGAUCAGAACAUCCCAAU